CCUACGGGCGGCAGCAGUGGGGAAUAUUGCACAAUGGGGGAAACCCUGAUGCAGCGACGCCGCGUGAAGGAAGAAGUAUUUCGGUAUGUAAACUUCUAUCAGCAGGGAAGAAAAUGACGGUACCUGACUAAGAAGCCCCGGCUAACUACGUGCCAGCAGCCGAGGUAAUACGUAGGGGGCAAGCGUUAUCCGGAUUUACUGGGUGUAAAGGGAGCGUAGGCGGUGUAGCAAGUCAGUAGUGAAAGCCCGGGGCUUAACCCCGGGAUUGCUUUUGAAACUGUUGAACUAGAGUGCAGGAGAGGUAAGUGGAAUUCCUAGUGUAGCGGUGAAAUGCGUAGAUAUUAGGAGGAACACCGAUGGCGAAGGCGGCUUACUGGACUGUAAAUGACACUGAGGCUCGAAAGCGUGGGGAGCAAACAGGAUUAGAUACCCGUGUAGUC
RNAcentral lists this ribosomal RNA (440 nucleotides) under uncultured bacterium. RNAcentral's name for it is "partial 16S ribosomal RNA". It matches the Rfam family "Bacterial small subunit ribosomal RNA", at positions 338 to 795 of the family's 1533-position model. The record is from RNAcentral.